This 2705-nucleotide long non-coding RNA is filed under the name Homo sapiens (human). RNAcentral describes it as "HSALNT0335687". The record is from RNAcentral. Lineage: Eukaryota; Metazoa; Chordata; Mammalia; Primates; Hominidae.
UGCAUUUUAUUUUUUGAAGUUUCUAUAAACCUAUGUUCAAACUCACUACUUUUUCCUCAAGUGUAUCCAGUCUACUGGCUGUAUCUACAUCGCUUUCAGCUGUAACCCACUGUUAUAGUAGAUACUCAAUGGCAUGAUAGUAAGGUGUGAGGAAGAAAAAAAGUUCUACAAUGGCUUGCAUUCUUGGAAGGUAAAGGGAUAAGAAGCUGUGAAGGUUACGUAAUGGAGAUGAAAGGCAAGCUACAGGAAGUGAAAUUGGCAAUUCUUCUUGGUCCCUGUUUGGGAAAAUGUGAAUCUCAUCCUCUCAGUUUCUAGUUUGACAGACUAUAAGUUUCUUUUCAGAGUUAGAGACGAAUGCUGAAAGACCAUGAAAAAUCUCAGAGACAAGUCAUUUCUGGGACAAUAAAUAGCGGAAGACAGCAUUUAACAAUGAAUUAAGGGAAAUUCCAUUCUUUCCUGUAUUUCAGCACUGCGGAAGUCUACGAAGCAGUUAAUGUUAAGAAAUACCAUUGACUAAAAAAAAAAAAAUGAUUUUCUGCAUUGGAUGUUAAAAGAUAUGAAGCAAGAAAUUGACCAUUCAGUGGAACAAUGUGAAUCCUAAAUUAUCUAAAUAAAAACAAGAGGAUCAGUUAAUUCAGAAAAAAGAAUUGUAUAAAUUCUGGAACUCGGUAGAUAUAUUCUCCUUAACAAAUUCUGGCAAAGAAUUCUCCCAAUCACUUAUUCAUUAGGGAUUGAGAAUUGACACUAGAAACAGAUAACUUGUGCUUAAUAUUGUGCUUAAGCUUUAAGCAUAGAAAAUUUCCUUGAUGCAAGGGGGUUACUGUGUCACCUCAAGUUAAAAGGCAAUUUAGGAAGUGAUAUGUAACUAGCAGUUUGAAAGUAUUCUAAAUAUUACUUGCUAACAAAAUUCACUCUCUACAGAAGGGACAUACCUAACAAAGAAUACAUCUUGCAGAUUGCUACAUAAAGAGUAAGUACAUUGACAAAUAUUAUGUACUUAAAAUAUAUACAGCUCUGUACUUAGCAUGCCACAUAGAAUUCCUUAAUAUUCCUCUUAACAGCUGUACAAGUUAACUUGACUUUUAUACGCAUUAUACACAUGAAAAAAAUGAGAUGAGAAAGGCCAAAUAAAAUGAAUGAAUGAAUGAAUGAGUUUUUAAAAUUUAUUUUGACAUGAGAGCCAAUCCUAUCAGCCUUGCUGAUUUCUUCAAAAUACUUGCAAAUAAGUUGCUAUAAUAUAAAAACAUCUUCUUAUUGUUUCUCUCUCCUUAAGGAUUUCUCUGAGACAUUUCUAAUAUUUAAAUCUUUUUUCCCAUAGGUUGUCUUUCACGGUACUUUGUAUACACUACUUUGGGUUCAUAUGCCUCAAGUGAAAAAUUGGUCUAAUAACAUUAAUACCUCUGUCACAACCCCAUUGCACAUGAUCAGUUCUAAUAAUGGGUUUUAAAGUAAUUUUGUUUUAUUUUAAAUUACUAUUCAGAUAUCAGUCACUAUGACAUCAGACUUUUUACUCUCUGUGAUAGUUAUAUAUCAACUUAGCUGGAGUAUAGUAUCAAGUUAUUCAAUAAAACACUAAUCUAGGUGUCACUGUGAAGGGAUUUUGUAGAUAUGAUUAACAUCUACAUUUAGUUGACACUAAGUAAAGGAGAUUUUCCUUGAUAAUGUGGUCAAGCCUCAUCCAAUCAAUUGAAAGGCCUGAGCUUUUCUAGAGGAAGAAGUAAUUUUAUCUCAGGACUCCAGCAUUAGCUACUGCUGGACAAUCCCAGCAUCCCAACCUGCCCAACAGAUUUUAGACUAGACUUACCACCUCAUAUGAGCACAUAGCAGAUUCCCAGAAAUCAAUCUAUCUACCUAUGUAUCUAUCAAUCUAUCAUCUCUCUCCUACUGCUUCUGUUUCUGUAGAUGACACUGACAGAUGUGAAUAUUCACAUAAAAGCUGUCAAUAUGCAUGUUCCUUCCUACUACUUGUACCAAUUAAGCAAAGAGUGUAACGGAUGCAUAUUUUUCUAAAGAAUUUCUGUAUGUGUUCUCCGAUUAUUGGUCAGAAAUAAAAAUAUGUUUAUAAUGCAAAAUUCAUAAAAUGUGUAUAAAUGAUAAUGUAUAUGCCUAUAUAAGUGUGUGUUUUUCUGUGUAUACAUAUAUGUAUAUAUGAGUGUGUGUGUAUGUGUGUGCAUUUUUUUGUAACUGAUACUGUGGCCUUUUAUAUCUACCAAAAUCCAGGACUAGUUUAGAAAAGAAAUUACAGCAGCAUUCUAAAAUUUACUUGUUUGAUAUAAAUAUAUUUUUGUAACUUUUUUUGCCUGACAUUUGUGCUGUAAAUCAAAAGUACUUUUGUGAAAGCAAUUUUUUUAAACAAUCUUCUCUGAAAUUGUGUAGGAGGAAGUGAAUCGCUACCACUCAAUCCUGACAUUAAUUCAACAGACACAUAUUUUGAUUUCUGAAGAAUUAUGGAAACAUUCUUUCAGAAGAGAACAAUGAAAGAUAGCAUUCUGUGUUUAGCACAUUUCCCCUUUCCAAGUGGCAGUGGAGCGUUGUAACAGCAAAGUAAAUUGCUUCUUAUUUCUAUGUGCUUUUUAAAACUGUGACACUGACUGAGCUGAACCACCAAGACCACAUCUGUACACAGCUAAAUAAAAGGUUUUACAUGAUGGCAAAACUGGGCAGAAUUAAUUUGUCCUUGGAUGUACUGAUGAUUGCAAUGCUUA